GGAGAUGUAGUUCAGUGGUAGAAUACUUGCUUAGCAUGCAUGAAGCUCUGGGUUCCAACUCCA
This 63-nucleotide transfer RNA is filed under the name Neotoma lepida (desert woodrat). It matches the Rfam family "tRNA", at positions 1 to 62 of the family's 71-position model. From Rfam's summary of the family: Transfer RNA (tRNA) molecules are approximately 80 nucleotides in length. Lineage: Eukaryota; Metazoa; Chordata; Mammalia; Rodentia; Cricetidae. The record is from Rfam by way of RNAcentral.